Molecule: transfer RNA, 69 nt
Filed under: Marmota monax (woodchuck)
Lineage: Eukaryota; Metazoa; Chordata; Mammalia; Rodentia; Sciuridae
Description: tRNA.Ala
Rfam family: tRNA
About the family: Transfer RNA (tRNA) molecules are approximately 80 nucleotides in length. Their secondary structure includes four short double-helical elements and three loops (D, anti-codon, and T loops).
Source: RNAcentral
GGGUGUAGCUCAGGGGUAGAGCUCUCUCCUAGCAUGCAUGAGGCCCUGGGUUUGAUUCCCAGCACCACA